RNAcentral lists this unclassified non-coding RNA (347 nucleotides) under soil metagenome. Its description in RNAcentral is "partial contains 5.8S ribosomal RNA, internal transcribed spacer 2, and large subunit ribosomal RNA". The stretch from base 1 to 120 matches the Rfam family "5.8S ribosomal RNA", at positions 35 to 154 of the family's 154-position model. The record is from RNAcentral.
GAUGAAGAACGUAGCGAAAUGCGAUAAGUAGUGUGAAUUGCAGAAUUCCGUGAAUCAUCGAAUCUUUGAACGCACAUUGCGCCUCCUGGUAGUCCGGGAGGCAUGCCUGUUCGAGCGUCACCAAAUCCAACUCAAGCGGUUUUGCGCUUGGUCGUGGCGGAAGAAUCGGUCUGGUUGCCGUCUCCCCUCCGAAAAUCAACGGCGGAAAGUCACUGGCAGUCAGCGUAGUAGUAUCGUUCGCCGAACAUCCAGUGGCAUUCCUGCCGACGUACCCCCACAAUUCUCGUGAUUGACCUCGGAUCAGGUAGGGAUACCCGCUGAACUUAAGCAUAUCAAUAAGCGGAGGA